RNAcentral lists this transfer RNA (72 nucleotides) under Octopus vulgaris (common octopus). It matches the Rfam family "tRNA". Rfam says of the family: Transfer RNA (tRNA) molecules are approximately 80 nucleotides in length. RNAcentral also lists the same sequence under 3 other names. Lineage: Eukaryota; Metazoa; Mollusca; Cephalopoda; Octopoda; Octopodidae. The record is from Rfam by way of RNAcentral.
GGUCUCAUGGUGUAAUGGUUAGCACUCUGGACUUUGAAUCCAGCGAUCCGAGUUCGAGUCUCGGUGAGACCU